GACGAACGCUGGCGGCGUGCCUAAUACAUGCAAGUCGAACGAGAGCGACCGGUGCUUGCACUGGUCAAUCUAGUGGCGAACGGGUGAGUAACACGUGGGUAACCUGCCCAUCAGAGGGGGAUAACAUCCGGAAACGGAUGCUAAAACCGCAUAGGUCUUCGAACCGCAUGGUUUGAAGAGGAAAAGAGGCGCGAGCUUCUGCUGAUGGAUGGACCCGCGGUGCAUUAGCUAGUUGGUGAGGUAACGGCUCACCAAGGCCGUGAUGCAUAGCCGACCUGAGAGGGUGAUCGGCCACAUUGGGACUGAGACACGGCCCAAACUCCUACGGGAGGCAGCAGUAGGGAAUCUUCCGCAAUGGACGCAAGUCUGACGGAGCAACGCCGCGUGAGUGAAGAAGGUUUUCGGAUCGUAAAACUCUGUUGUUAGAGAAGAACAAGUGCUAGAGUAACUGUUAGCGCCUUGACGGUAUCUAACCAGAAAGCCACGGCUAACUACGUG
This 498-nucleotide ribosomal RNA is filed under the name uncultured bacterium. Its description in RNAcentral is "partial 16S ribosomal RNA". It matches the Rfam family "Bacterial small subunit ribosomal RNA", at positions 28 to 507 of the family's 1533-position model. The record is from RNAcentral.